This 710-nucleotide ribosomal RNA is filed under the name uncultured bacterium. RNAcentral describes it as "bacterial SSU rRNA". It matches the Rfam family "Bacterial small subunit ribosomal RNA", at positions 180 to 894 of the family's 1533-position model. The record is from RNAcentral.
GGGAUCCCACCUGGGAAUAUUGCUAAAGAUUAAUCGCUAUGAAAUCGGGAUGCGUCCCAUUAGCUAGUUGGUAGGGUAACGGCCUACCAAAGCGACGAUGGGUAACUGGUCUGAGAGGAUGAUCAGUCACACGGACACUGAGACACGGGUCCGACUCCUACGGGAGGCAGCAGUAAGGAAUAUUGGACAAUGGACGCAAGUCUGAUCCAGCCAUGCCGCGUGGAGGAAGAAGGUCCUCUGGAUUGUAAACUCCUUUUAUCCGGGGCUAAAAUGGGGCUAUACGCCGUAUUGAAGGUACCGGAGGAAUAAGCCACGGCUAACUACGUGCCAGCAGCCGCGGUAAUACGUAGGUGGCAAGCGUUGUCCGGAUUUAUUGGGUUUAAAGGGUGCGUAGGCGGCUUGUUAAGUCAGUGGUUAAAUCGUGUGGCUCAACCAUACUUCGCCAUUGAUACUGACAGGCUAGAAUAUGUCCGAGGAUACUGGAAUGAAUGGUGUAGCGGUGAAAUGCAUAGAUAUCAUUCAGAACACCGAUUGCGAAGGCAGGUAUCUGGGGCGUGAUUGACGCUGAGGCACGAAAGUGUGGGGAGCAAACAGGAUUAGAUACCCUGGUAGUCCACACUGUAAACGUUGGUCACUAGAUGUUCGGUCGCAAGGCUGAGUGUCCAAGGGAAACCGAUAAGUGACCCACCUGGGGAGUACGUUCGCAAGAA